RNAcentral lists this ribosomal RNA (216 nucleotides) under Glomeromycotina sp. RNAcentral's name for it is "partial small subunit ribosomal RNA". The stretch from base 44 to 216 matches the Rfam family "Eukaryotic small subunit ribosomal RNA", at positions 690 to 864 of the family's 1831-position model. Lineage: Eukaryota; Fungi; Glomeromycota. The record is from RNAcentral.
GGGUCAGUAGGUUGGUCGUGCCACCGGUACGUACUGGUCCCACUGAUUCCUCCUUCCUGAGGAACCGUAAUGCCAUUAAUUUGGUGUUGCGGGGAAACAGGACUGUUACUUUGAAAAAAUUAGAGUGUUUAAAGCAAGCUAACGCUUGAAUACAUUAGCAUGGAAUAAUGAAAUAGGACGAUCGAUCCUAUUUUGUUGGUUUCUAGGAUUGACGUA